GACGAACGCUGGCGGCGUGCUUAACACAUGCAAGUCGAACGGAAGGGCCCUGCUUUUGUGGGGUGCUCGAGUGGCGAACGGGUGAGUAACACGUGAGUAACCUGCCCUUGACUUUGGGAUAACUUCAGGAAACUGGGGCUAAUACCGGAUAGGAGCUCCUGCUGCAUGGUGGGGGUUGGAAAGUUUCGGCGGUUGGGGAUGGACUCGCGGCUUAUCAGCUUGUUGGUGGGGUAGUGGCUUACCAAGGCUUUGACGGGUAGCCGGCCUGAGAGGGUGACCGGCGACAUUGGGACUGAGAUACGGCCCAGACUCCUACGGGAGGCAGCAGCGGGGAAUAUUGCACAAUGGGCGGAAGCCUGAUGCAGCAACGCCGCGUGCGGGAUGACGGCCUUCGGGUUGUAAACCGCUUUCGCCUGUGACGAAGCGUGAGUGACGGUAAUGGGUAAAGAAGCACCGGCUAACUACGUG
Molecule: ribosomal RNA, 468 nt
Filed under: uncultured bacterium
Lineage: Bacteria
Description: partial 16S ribosomal RNA
Rfam family: Bacterial small subunit ribosomal RNA
Source: RNAcentral